UUUAUGGAGAGUUUGAUCCUGGCUCAGGACGAACGCUGGCGGCGUGCCUAAUACAUGCAAGUCGAGCGGAUCUUCAAGGGAGCUUGCUCCCGAGAAGGUUAGCGGCGGACGG
This 112-nucleotide ribosomal RNA is filed under the name Cohnella xylanilytica. Its description in RNAcentral is "Bacterial small subunit ribosomal RNA". It matches the Rfam family "Bacterial small subunit ribosomal RNA", at positions 1 to 105 of the family's 1533-position model. The record is from Rfam by way of RNAcentral. Lineage: Bacteria; Bacillati; Bacillota; Bacilli; Caryophanales; Paenibacillaceae.